RNAcentral lists this ribosomal RNA (463 nucleotides) under uncultured bacterium. Its description in RNAcentral is "bacterial SSU rRNA". It matches the Rfam family "Bacterial small subunit ribosomal RNA", at positions 28 to 507 of the family's 1533-position model. The record is from RNAcentral.
GAUGAACGCUGGCGGCGUGCAUAACACAUUCAAGUCGAACGGUGAAGUACCUUCGGGUACGGAUCAGUGGCGGACGGGUGAGUAACGCGUGAAUAACCUGCCUGUAUGUGGGGGAUAACAACCGGAAACAGUUGCUAAUACCGCAUAAUGUAUGGAGAUCGCAUGUUUUCCAUACCAAAGAUUUAUUGCAUACAGAUGGAUUCGCGUCCGAUUAGAUAGUUGGUGAGGUAACGGCCCACCAAGUCGACGAUCGGUAGCCGGACUGAGAGGUUGAACGGCCACAUUGGAACUGAGAAACGGUCCAGACUCCUACGGGAGGCAGCAGUGGGGAAUAUUGGGCAAUGGGCGAAAGCCUGACCCAGCGACGCCGCGUGAGGGAAGAAGGUCUUCGGAUUGUAAACCUUAGUCAACAGGGAAGAAGCAAGUGACGGUACCUGUGGAGGAAGCCACGGCUAACUACGUG